Molecule: ribosomal RNA, 497 nt
Filed under: uncultured bacterium
Lineage: Bacteria
Description: partial 16S ribosomal RNA
Rfam family: Bacterial small subunit ribosomal RNA
Source: RNAcentral
GAUGAACGCUGGCGGCGUGCCUAAUACAUGCCAGUCGAGCGAACGGACGAGAAGCUUGCUUCUCUGAUGUUAGCGGCGGACGGGUGAGUAACACGUGGAUAACCUACCUAUAAGACUGGGAUAACUUCGGGAAACCGUAGCUAAUACCGGAUAAUAUUUUGAGCCGCAUGGUUCAAAAGUGAAAGACGGUCUUGCUGUCACUUAUAGAUGGAUCCGCGCUGCAUUAGCUAGUUGGUAAGGUAACGGCUUACCAAGGCAACGAUGCAUAGCCGACCUGAGAGGGUGAUCGGCCACACUGGAACUGAGACACGGUCCAGACUCCUACGGGAGGCAGCAGUAGGGAAUCUUCCGCAAUGGGCGAAAGCCUGACGGAGCAACGCCGCGUGAGUGAUGAAGGUCUUCGGAUCGUAAAACUCUGUUAUUAGGGAAGAACAUAUGUGUAAGUAACUGUGCACAUCUUGACGGUACCUAAUCAGAAAGCCACGGCUAACUACGUG